Molecule: long non-coding RNA, 272 nt
Filed under: Lathyrus oleraceus (garden pea)
Lineage: Eukaryota; Viridiplantae; Streptophyta; Magnoliopsida; Fabales; Fabaceae
Description: Pisum sativum (pea) long non-coding RNA (PSAT_LNC000518)
Source: RNAcentral
ACAUUUCAGCGACGCGAAAUGAAAUUCACGUCGCAACUCCAUAACGGUCAAAAAGUUGUGACGUGGGAAUCAUGACAAAAAUAAAUGUGUCAGUCAACUGUCCCACAUCAAUUCAGCGUCAGACUUCUUCCCUCCUUAACGUUUUUUUUUAAUUUCAUGUUACGACGUGAUAUUCACGUCAGAACUUAAAUUUUGAAAAUUUUAAAUUUCCCCCAUCUGCUAACUUGUGCAUGCCUGACUUCUUUUAUUUUUUAUUUUAUUUUUAAAGUUGC